GACGUAGGAGGCGAGCGUUGUCCGGAUUCAUUGGGCGUAAAGAGCACGCAGGCGGUUUGGCAAGUCAGAUGUGAAAAUCCGAGGCUCAACCUCGGACCUGCAUCUGAAACUGCCCGACUAGAGGUAGGUAGGGGAGAUCGGAAUUCCUGGUGUAGCGGUGAAAUGCGCAGAUAUCAGGAGGAACACCGGUGGCGAAGGCGGAUCUCUGGGCCUUACCUGACACUCAAGUGCGAAAGCGUGGGGAGCAAACAGG
This 253-nucleotide ribosomal RNA is filed under the name uncultured bacterium. RNAcentral's name for it is "partial 16S ribosomal RNA". It matches the Rfam family "Bacterial small subunit ribosomal RNA", at positions 524 to 776 of the family's 1533-position model. The record is from RNAcentral.